RNAcentral lists this non-coding RNA (27 nucleotides) under Rattus norvegicus (Norway rat). Lineage: Eukaryota; Metazoa; Chordata; Mammalia; Rodentia; Muridae. The record is from RNAcentral.
UCAGUGGUCCCGCUGAACUGAGCUCGC